This 73-nucleotide transfer RNA is filed under the name Beggiatoa sp. PS. RNAcentral's name for it is "tRNA-Phe". It matches the Rfam family "tRNA". Rfam says of the family: Transfer RNA (tRNA) molecules are approximately 80 nucleotides in length. Their secondary structure includes four short double-helical elements and three loops (D, anti-codon, and T loops). The record is from RNAcentral. Lineage: Bacteria; Pseudomonadati; Pseudomonadota; Gammaproteobacteria; Thiotrichales; Thiotrichaceae.
GCUCGGAUAGCUCAGUUGGUAGAGCAAAGGACUGAAAAUCCUUGUGUCAGUGGUUCAAUUCCACUUCCGAGCA